GAUGAACGCUGCCAGCAUGCUUAACACAUCAGCAAUUGAUUGGUGGCUGACGGGUGAGUAACGCGUAAAGAACUUACCUCACAGUUAGGGACAACAUUUGGAAACGAAUGCUAAUACCUAAUACUGUGAGAGAGCUUUGCGUCCCAUUAGCUCGGUGGAGAGGUACCGGCUCACCAAGGCGAGGAUGGGUAGCCGGCCUGAGAGGGUGAGCGGCAACAAGGGGAAUGAGACACGGCGCUUACUCAGACGGGAGGAAGAAGUGGGGAAUAUGGGACAAGGGACCAAAGUGUGAUCCAGCAAUUCUGUGUGAACGAUGAAGUUUUCGGAAUGUAAAGUGCUGGGAGUUGGGAAGCGGUACCAACAGAAGAAGUGACGGCUAAAUACGUGCCAGCAGCCGCGGUAAGAC
RNAcentral lists this ribosomal RNA (406 nucleotides) under uncultured bacterium. Its description in RNAcentral is "partial 16S ribosomal RNA". It matches the Rfam family "Bacterial small subunit ribosomal RNA", at positions 28 to 526 of the family's 1533-position model. The record is from RNAcentral.